Long non-coding RNA from Cyprinodon variegatus (sheepshead minnow), 514 nucleotides. RefSeq lists it as uncharacterized. The record is from RefSeq and is a predicted model, not a curated record. The transcript has 3 exons. NCBI's taxonomy places the organism in Eukaryota, Metazoa, Chordata, Actinopteri, Cyprinodontiformes, Cyprinodontidae.
CAGAGGACCACUGCCGCGCGGGUCCUGUCUUGCUUCCCCGCGUCUGCAGUACCAGUUCUGGCAUGAGGAGGAGACUGCUGAGCUGUGCAGUGUGAUAGUCUGACAGUUAUAGUUCGGAUACAAACUUAAAACAAACAGUUUGCAGUUAAAAUUACCGUUUAUCAUCCACAGUUCAAGCUGGAAAUAGUUGAGUUGAAGUGCCCCACCUGUCCGGACUGAGAGCCAUCAUAUUGUUGUCCCAAACAGGUUGCAGUGAGAUUGGUCAGGUUUUUUUCUUUAUGCUGGAUUAUUCCUGAGGUGGAUUCCUCCGGUGAUUGAUGGCGAGCCUUCCCACCUGGACUUAGAGAAAGAACUGGAUUCAUUCUUUUCCAUUUUUAGUCCUGCUGCACCCUGCAGUGUGGUAGGCCUGUUUCACUCACAUCUUCACGCACAGUUGGUUAUGCACGGGACCAUUGACUGACAUUUUUUCACUUUUAUUGUUUCAUUCUGGGAUUUAGGACCUUAUUUUUUUUAC